AAUCCCAUUUUAGUACCGUUUUUUCUCUAUCUCCAGAAUUAAUGGCUAUGCUAAUGGGAUACAGUAAUAUUUGCUAUUUUCUAAAGGGUCUGAUGUUUUGUUUCAUCUUCUCCUAUAUGAACUAGCAGGACAUACUUGA
Molecule: small nucleolar RNA, 139 nt
Organism: Bombina bombina (fire-bellied toad)
Lineage: Eukaryota; Metazoa; Chordata; Amphibia; Anura; Bombinatoridae
Product: small nucleolar RNA SNORA29
Exons: 1
Source: RefSeq, a predicted model, not a curated record